Molecule: ribosomal RNA, 240 nt
Filed under: uncultured bacterium
Lineage: Bacteria
Description: partial 16S ribosomal RNA
Rfam family: Bacterial small subunit ribosomal RNA
Source: RNAcentral
AUUGAACGCUGGCGGAAUGCUUUACACAUGCAAGUCGAACGGCAGCACGGGGGCAACCCUGGUGGCGAGUGGCGAACGGGUGAGUAACACGUGAGUAACCUGCCCUUGACUCGUGGGAUAAGCACUGGAAACGUGUCUAAUACCGGAUACGACCUCUGGAAGCAUCUUCUAGAGGUGAAGAAUUUCGGUCAAGGAUGGACUCGCGGCCUAUCAGCUAGUUGGUGAGGAAUGGCCCACCAA